CAGGCAGCAUGGAGAGCAGUUCUUGCAGCUCCCAGCAGAAAACUACUGGAAGCUACUGCAAUUACAAAGUACUGGAGUUAUGUGCCCCUGGUAAUGCAUCCCCAUCAGAAGGCACAGCACUGCACUCUGCAACAGCUGCAGUUUCCAGACAGAUGUCAAGGGCAGCACCAGGAAUUUUUUGACCAGAACAGAA
Long non-coding RNA from Alligator sinensis (Chinese alligator), 193 nucleotides. RefSeq lists it as uncharacterized. The transcript has 3 exons. NCBI's taxonomy places the organism in Eukaryota, Metazoa, Chordata, Crocodylia, Alligatoridae. The record is from RefSeq and is a predicted model, not a curated record.